AUUUUAAAGGGCCGCGGUAUUUGGACCGUGCUAAGGUAGCAUAAUAAAUAGUCUUUUAAUUGAAGUCUAGUAUGAAUGGUCGGACAUGAAGUAAGCUGUUUUAGUUUUUAUUUUUGAAUUUUACUUUUAAGUGAAAAGGCUUAAAUUAAAUGGUGGGACGAUAAGACCCUAUAAAGCUUUACGGUUUACUCUUUAGUUGUGAGAUUUAAGGUUUCUUAAACUUAGUGAGUGAAGCGUUUCGUUGGGGCGACGGAAAUAUAAAUAAAGUAACUGUUUUUUUUAAAAAAUAUGUUUUUAUAGGUGAGUUGAUCCUUUUUUGAGAUUAUAAGAUAUAAGUUACUUUAGGGAUAACAGCGUAAUUUAUCUUGAGAGUUCAUAUCGACAGAUACAGUUGCGACCUCGAUGUUGAAUUAAAAUAUCCUCCAGGUGUAGCAGUUUUGGUGGUAGGUCUGUUCGACCUUUAAAAUUUUACAUGAUUUGAGUUCAGACCGGCGUGAGCCAGGUUAG
RNAcentral lists this ribosomal RNA (507 nucleotides) under Caridina africana. Its description in RNAcentral is "partial 16S ribosomal RNA". It matches the Rfam family "Bacterial large subunit ribosomal RNA", at positions 1920 to 2634 of the family's 2925-position model. Lineage: Eukaryota; Metazoa; Arthropoda; Malacostraca; Decapoda; Atyidae. The record is from RNAcentral.